RNAcentral lists this long non-coding RNA (202 nucleotides) under Elaeis guineensis (African oil palm). RNAcentral describes it as "long non-coding RNA (EGUI_LNC049405)". The record is from RNAcentral. Lineage: Eukaryota; Viridiplantae; Streptophyta; Magnoliopsida; Arecales; Arecaceae.
AAAUUGAUAAAAGGGCAAGAGUUGCUCUGUGGCCAUAGGCAUCUAUCCUUUGUGAUUAUCAUUUAGAUUUAGUUCUUAAAGAUAGUCUCUAUCAUUUGCAUGGUGAUGCAUCUGUAAACUUAAUUGAGCAAACAGUGAAUGCUAUUGAAUCUGAGAGAUCCAGAGUUGAGAUAAACCUUAAGUAUAUGUGGAAUCUUAGGCU